AUAUAACAAUUACUAUAUAUAUUCUAAAAUUGAACGAUACAGAGAAGAUUAGCAAGGCCCCUGUGCAAAUUCGUGAAACGUUCCAUAUUUCU
Molecule: small nuclear RNA, 92 nt
Organism: Anolis carolinensis (green anole)
Lineage: Eukaryota; Metazoa; Chordata; Lepidosauria; Squamata; Anolidae
Source: Ensembl